AUUGAACGCUGGCGGCAGGCCUAACACAUGCAAGUCGAACGGUAACAGGAAGAAGCUUGCUUCUUUGCUGACGAGUGGCGGACGGGUGAGUAAUGUCUGGGAAACUGCCUGAUGGAGGGGGAUAACUACUGGAAACGGUAGCUAAUACCGCAUAACGUCGCAAGACCAAAAAGGGGGACCUUCGGGCCUCUUGCCAUCGGAUGUGCCCAGAUGGGAUUAGCUAGUAGGUGGGGUAACGGCUCACCUAGGCGACGAUCCCUAGCUGGUCUGAGAGGAUGGCCAGCCACACUGGAACUGAGACACGGUCCAGACUCCUACGGGAGGCAGCAGUGGGGAAUAUUGCACAAUGGGCGCAAGCCUGAUGCAGCCAUGCCGCGUGUAUGAAGAAGGCCUUCGGGUUGUAAAGUACUUUCAGCGGGGAGGAAGGGAGUAAAGUUAAUACCUUUGCUCAUUGACGUUACCCGCAGAAGAAGCACCGGCUAACUCCGUG
Molecule: ribosomal RNA, 490 nt
Filed under: uncultured bacterium
Lineage: Bacteria
Description: partial 16S ribosomal RNA
Rfam family: Bacterial small subunit ribosomal RNA
Source: RNAcentral